Molecule: non-coding RNA, 101 nt
Organism: Paramarasmius palmivorus
Lineage: Eukaryota; Fungi; Basidiomycota; Agaricomycetes; Agaricales; Marasmiaceae
Source: the annotation of a GenBank genome assembly
GCCCGCCUAGCUCAAUCGGAUAGAGCGUCAGACUUUUACGAAUAGUCGAGCGGGCUAUGGUAAUCAUCUGAAGGCUGCGAGUUCGACCCUCGCGGUGGGCU